CACCGAGUCCGAGGCUCCGGAAGUGGCCGGAGCCUGGUGCAAGAGGGA
Molecule: small RNA, 48 nt
Filed under: Streptomyces sp. HmicA12
Lineage: Bacteria; Bacillati; Actinomycetota; Actinomycetes; Kitasatosporales; Streptomycetaceae
Also listed under: 2 other names
Description: raiA-hairpin RNA
Rfam family: raiA-hairpin RNA
Source: Rfam by way of RNAcentral